Monodelphis domestica (gray short-tailed opossum) is the source of this 303-nucleotide long non-coding RNA. Lineage: Eukaryota; Metazoa; Chordata; Mammalia; Didelphimorphia; Didelphidae. The record is from Ensembl.
AGCAAAAAGGCUUUGAGCAGUCCCACAAUUGCCUUUCUCUCAUUUAUUUGUGCUAGAAUUAAGGUUUAUUUGUUUUCUGUUUUCUCCUUCUUCAGAGAUUAUUUCUCUUAGUUUAUCCAUUUAACAAAUUGUUUCUUCCUGUAUCAUAGAAGAAUGCCCCUGUAGGGCCUCCAUCACUGUCUUCUGGCUACAGACCUCCUCCUUUUGAGGGCAUUUUCUCUCCACUCAUUUUGCUGGGAGCUCCUAAAUAUCUCUCAAGGUCUUUCUGCUGGAAUUGAGUUCUACAUCUUACUCAAUUGGUUA